UACGUAGGCAGCAAGCGUUGUUCGGAAUUACUGGGCGUAAAGAGUGUGUAGGCGGUGCUCUAAGUUCGGUGUGAAAUCUCCCGGCUCAACUGGGAGGGUGCGCCGGAAACUGGGGGUGCUGGAGCGCGGGGAGAGGAAAGCGGAAUUCCUGGUGUAGCGGUGAAAUGCGUAGAUAUCGGGAGGAACACCAGUGGCGAAGGCGGCUUUCUGGCCUGCCUCUGACGCUGAGGCGCGAAAGCUAGGGUAGCAAACGGG
This 255-nucleotide ribosomal RNA is filed under the name uncultured bacterium. RNAcentral describes it as "partial 16S ribosomal RNA". It matches the Rfam family "Bacterial small subunit ribosomal RNA", at positions 524 to 776 of the family's 1533-position model. The record is from RNAcentral.